RNAcentral lists this ribosomal RNA (426 nucleotides) under uncultured bacterium. Its description in RNAcentral is "bacterial SSU rRNA". It matches the Rfam family "Bacterial small subunit ribosomal RNA", at positions 354 to 796 of the family's 1533-position model. The record is from RNAcentral.
GUGAGGAAUUUUCCGCAAUGGGCGAAAGCCUGACGGAGCAAUGCCGCGUGAAGGAUGAAGGCCUAUGGGUUGUAAACUUCUUUUUUCAGAAAAGAAUUAUGACGGUAUCUGAGGAAUAAGCAUCGGCUAACUCUGUGCCAGCAGCCGCGGUAAGACAGAGGAUGCAAGCGUUAUCCGGAAUGAUUGGGCGUAAAGCGUCUGUAGGUUGUUUAAAAAGUAUUCUGUCAAAGAUUAGGGCUUAACCCUAGAUAGGCAGAAUAAACUUUUAAGCUAGAGUUUGGUAGAGGCAGAGGGAAUUCCCGGUGGAGCGGUGAAAUGCGUAGAUAUCGGGAGGAACACCAAAGGCGAAGGCACUCUGCUGGGCCAAUACUAACACUGAGAGACGAAAGCGAGGGGAGCAAAUGGGAUUAGAAACCCGUGUAGUCC